GUCGAACGGUGAAGCCAAGCUUGCUUGGUGGAUCAGUGGCGAACGGGUGAGUAACACGUGAGCAACCUGCCCUGGACUCUGGGAUAAGCGCUGGAAACGGUGUCUAAUACUGGAUAUGAGCCUCUAUCGCAUGGUGGGGGUUGGAAAGAUUUUUCGGUCUGGGAUGGGCUCGCGGCCUAUCAGCUUGUUGGUGAGGUAAUGGCUCACCAAGGCGUCGACGGGUAGCCGGCCUGAGAGGGUGACCGGCCACACUGGGACUGAGACACGGCCCAGACUCCUACGGGAGGCAGCAGUGGGGAAUAUUGCACAAUGGGCGGAAGCCUGAUGCAGCAACGCCGCGUGAGGGAUGACGGCCUUCGGGUUGUAAACCUCUUUUAGCAGGGAAGAAGCGAAAGUGACGGUACCUGCAGAAAAAGCGCCGGCUAACUACGUGCCAGCAGCCGCGGUAAUACGUAGGGCGCAAGCGUUAUCCGGAAUUAUUGGGCGUAAAGAGCUCGUAGGCGGUUUGUCGCGUCUGCUGUGAAAUCCCGAGGCUCAACCUCGGGUCUGCAGUGGGUACGGGCAGACUAGAGUGCGGUAGGGGAGAUUGGAAUUCCUGGUGUAGCGGUGGAAUGCGCAGAUAUCAGGAGGAACACCGAUGGCGAAGGCAGAUCUCUGGGCCGUAACUGACGCUGAGGAGCGAAAGGGUGGGGAGCAAACAGGCUUAGAUACCCUGGUAGUCCACCCCGUAAACGUUGGGAACUA
This 744-nucleotide ribosomal RNA is filed under the name Microbacterium sp. RNAcentral describes it as "bacterial SSU rRNA". It matches the Rfam family "Bacterial small subunit ribosomal RNA", at positions 61 to 818 of the family's 1533-position model. The record is from RNAcentral. Lineage: Bacteria; Bacillati; Actinomycetota; Actinomycetes; Micrococcales; Microbacteriaceae.